RNAcentral lists this ribosomal RNA (483 nucleotides) under uncultured bacterium. Its description in RNAcentral is "bacterial SSU rRNA". It matches the Rfam family "Bacterial small subunit ribosomal RNA", at positions 30 to 507 of the family's 1533-position model. The record is from RNAcentral.
AUUGAACGCUGGCGGAACUGCUUUACACAUGCAAGUCGAACGGUAGACGGGGGCAACCCCUCGAGAGUGGCGAACGGGUAGAGUAAUAUAUCGGAACGUGCCCAGUCGUGGGGAUAACGUAGCGAAAGUUACGCUAAUACCGCAUACGAUCUACGGAUGAAAGCGGGGGAUCGCAAGACCUCGCGCGAUUGGAGCGGCCGAUAUCAGAUUAGGUAGUUGGUGGGGGUAAAGGCUCACCAAGCCAACGAUCUGUAGCUGGUCUGAGAGGACGACCAGCCACACUGGAACUGAGACACGGUCCAGACUCCUACGGGAGGCAGCAGUGGGGAAUUUUGGACAAUGGACGCAAGUCUGAUCCAGCCAUUCCGCGUGCAGGACGAAGGCCUUCGGGUUGUAAACUGCUUUUGUACAGAACGAAAAGGUCUCUAUUAAUACUAGGGGCUCAUGACGGUACUGUAAGAAUAAGCACCGGCUAACUACGUG